Small nuclear RNA from Podarcis muralis (Common wall lizard), 183 nucleotides. Its record names the gene U2. It matches the Rfam family "U2 spliceosomal RNA". Rfam says of the family: U2 is a small nuclear RNA (snRNA) component of the spliceosome (involved in pre-mRNA splicing). Lineage: Eukaryota; Metazoa; Chordata; Lepidosauria; Squamata; Lacertidae. The record is from Ensembl.
AUUGCUUCUCAGCCUUCUGGCUAAAAUCAAAGUAUCUGUUCUUAUCAGUUGAAUAUGUAAUACAGUAUGUUCUCUAUGUAAGGACACAGUGUGAAUCCAAUUUUGGAACCAGGAGUUGGAUACGAGGCUUGGUCCACCCACGACAUGCAUUGACCUGAUAUUGCAGGGCCCAGUGCAAUUUCC